Molecule: ribosomal RNA, 140 nt
Filed under: Escherichia coli
Lineage: Bacteria; Pseudomonadati; Pseudomonadota; Gammaproteobacteria; Enterobacterales; Enterobacteriaceae
Description: partial 16S ribosomal RNA
Rfam family: Bacterial small subunit ribosomal RNA
Source: RNAcentral
CCGUCACGCCAUGGGAGUGGGUUGCAAACGAAGUAGGUAGCUUAACCUUCGGGAGGGCGCUUACCACUUUGUGAUUCAUGACUGGGGUGAAGUCGUAACAAGGUAACCCUAGGGUAAGCUGCGGCUGGAUCACCUCCUUA